UAUGAUAGAUGUGCCCAAUGGAAGCGUCGUCUUUCACGCAGCUGAUGCACAUGAGUCCUCUGUCUCUGUUCGUGUUAGGCGGUCUGUCACGCCCGCUGCGUUUGAUGUUCAUUGAGACCAUGAGGUAUCGUCGAGCUCUAGACGUUAAAUUAAGCACUUGUUGGGAGGUAACCCAACCGUUUUUGUUUUGUUUUUCUUUCUUUCAGUUUCGUUUUGUUUCUUUUUGUUUUGUUGUUUUGUUUGUUGGGUUUUUAGUGCGGUGUUGAGCUUGGAAGUUGCGAGAACUCGCGCUUUGUUCAUGCCACCGCCAUGGGCAUGUGUUUCUCUGCCAGGUUACUGGAGGUUUUCAUGUUUCAGCGCAGCCGCUCUCUUCGCUGCCCUGUCCAGCGCAGCCACUCUCUACUCUGCCCAAGGUCACAAACCUCCCUUUUCGCCGCCUCUCACGAUGGUUCAG
Molecule: long non-coding RNA, 454 nt
Filed under: Salvia miltiorrhiza (redroot sage)
Lineage: Eukaryota; Viridiplantae; Streptophyta; Magnoliopsida; Lamiales; Lamiaceae
Description: long non-coding RNA (SMIL_LNC011747)
Source: RNAcentral